Monodelphis domestica (gray short-tailed opossum) is the source of this 214-nucleotide non-coding RNA. Lineage: Eukaryota; Metazoa; Chordata; Mammalia; Didelphimorphia; Didelphidae. The record is from RefSeq and is a predicted model, not a curated record.
AGAUUCACUUCCUGGAAAUGAGUAAUCUGAUAAAUCUGAGAUCGAAUGUCUCUUGGAGACUAUGGAGUUCAUGGAGUCCAUGCUGGAAGAAAGUUUAACGACUGCCAAGUCUGAAGCAGGAUUGGAACGUGGGUCUUCCAGACGUCCAACUACCCUAUUCUUCCCAUUGCACCAGGAAAUAGUUGAAUAACCCUGGCUGUGGCCAGUCACACUA